AUUUGGACUCUAGGCUCUACGGGUGACAGAUCUUGUUUCUGAAGAUGGUUUAAGUUAUAGCUUCUUAAAUGAAAGAAUAAAAUACUGCAAAAUGUUUUUAUAUUUGGCCCUUCCACCCAUUUUUAAUUGUGAGAGAUUUGUCAUCAAUCAUCACUGGUUCCUCCUUAAAAAUGAAAAAGUAACUUCUGUGUAACCGAAUGUUGACUUAAAUACGGAGAGAGUCUCAAGACAGGUCUGGAACCGGCCUGGACAGAGGCACCAAACUCUUCCUGGGGUGACCGUUUUCCGUUGUUAGGUCAAAUAACUUUCUCUGGGACCCUACAGCAGCUCCCCACGCUAGCACCUGUCCAGCCAAAACUCCCUUUGGGCAAAGAAACUAAGCGUUGGCAGCCUCUGCAGGCAGACCGAACUGGCACAUGAGGGGGCCCAGCUGCCCCGAGGCCAAGGCUGCGCUGAACAUGCCCAGGGCCUGCAAGAAGAGCCAGGCGAGGGCUGAGCUCCAACCCGGGCUGCGCCCCAGAGCCACACUGCUCAGCUGCCAGCUCUGCGGGUCAGGCACAUGAAGCACUGGCCACGGUGAAGGUGGGGCAGGGCCUCCUCCUCCCUCCUGCCCACUCCCUGAGCACACAGUGGAGGACACCCUGGGCCCGGCCUCUACCUGCUGGAACUGGGGCGAGGUCAGGGUAUUCUGGAUCUCAUCCGCGGUCUGCGGCAGCGACUCCCCAGAUGGCAAGUAGGGAAGCAGGCGCUCCUGGACAUCCGCGUUGGCGAGGAUGGGAGCCAUUAUCUCCGGCGUCAGCACACUGGCCAGGUCCACUGGGGCACAAGAACACGGCCAUCAGCUCCAUGACAGCCUAAGUGCCCACAUGGAAGGCAUGCAAG
RNAcentral lists this small RNA (882 nucleotides) under Pan troglodytes (chimpanzee). RNAcentral's name for it is "processed transcript". The record is from RNAcentral. Lineage: Eukaryota; Metazoa; Chordata; Mammalia; Primates; Hominidae.